This 466-nucleotide ribosomal RNA is filed under the name uncultured bacterium. RNAcentral describes it as "partial 16S ribosomal RNA". It matches the Rfam family "Bacterial small subunit ribosomal RNA", at positions 28 to 507 of the family's 1533-position model. The record is from RNAcentral.
GACGAACGCUGGCGGCGUGCUUAACACAUGCAAGUCGAACGGAAAGGCCCUGCUUGCAGGGUACUCGAGUGGCGAACAGGUGAGUAACACGUGGGUGAUCUGCCCUGCACUUCGGGAUAAGCCUGGGAAACUGGGUCUAAUACCGGAUAGGAGCCAUUUUUAGUGUGAUGGUUGGAAAGUUUUUUUCGGUGUAGGAUGAGCUCGCGGCCUAUCAGCUUGUUGGUGGGGUAAUGGCCUACCAAGGCGGCGACGGGUAGCCGGCCUGAGAGGGUGGACGGCCACAUUGGGACUGAGAUACGGCCCAGACUCCUACGGGAGGCAGCAGUGGGGAAUAUUGCACAAUGGGCGCAAGCCUGAUGCAGCGACGCCGCGUGGGGGAUGACGGCCUUCGGGUUGUAAACUCCUUUCGCUAGGGACGAAGCUUUUUGUGACGGUACCUAGAUAAGAAGCACCGGCUAACUACGUG